UACGUAGGGGGCAAGCGUUGUCCGGAAUCAUUGGGCGUAAAGCGCGUGUAGGCGGCUCGGUAAGUCCGCUCUGAAGGUCCAGGGCUCAACCCUGGGAUGCGGGUGGAUACUGCCGAGCUCGAGUCCGGAAGAGGCGAGUGGAAUUCCUGGUGUAGCGGUGAAAUGCGCAGAUAUCAGGAGGAACACCAAUGGCGAAGGCAGCUCGCUGGGACGUGACUGACGCUGAGACGCGAAAGCGUGGGGAGCAAACAGG
Molecule: ribosomal RNA, 253 nt
Filed under: uncultured bacterium
Lineage: Bacteria
Description: partial 16S ribosomal RNA
Rfam family: Bacterial small subunit ribosomal RNA
Source: RNAcentral